This 296-nucleotide ribosomal RNA is filed under the name Escherichia coli. RNAcentral's name for it is "partial 16S ribosomal RNA". It matches the Rfam family "Bacterial small subunit ribosomal RNA", at positions 1132 to 1427 of the family's 1533-position model. Lineage: Bacteria; Pseudomonadati; Pseudomonadota; Gammaproteobacteria; Enterobacterales; Enterobacteriaceae. The record is from RNAcentral.
CGGGAACUCAAAGGAGACUGCCAGUGAUAAACUGGAGGAAGGUGGGGAUGACGUCAAGUCAUCAUGGCCCUUACGACCAGGGCUACACACGUGCUACAAUGGCGCAUACAAAGAGAAGCGACCUCGCGAGAGCAAGCGGACCUCAUAAAGUGCGUCGUAGUCCGGAUUGGAGUCUGCAACUCGACUCCAUGAAGUCGGAAUCGCUAGUAAUCGUGGAUCAGAAUGCCACGGUGAAUACGUUCCCGGGCCUUGUACACACCGCCCGUCACACCAUGGGAGUGGGUUGCAAAAGAAGU